Molecule: ribosomal RNA, 450 nt
Filed under: uncultured bacterium
Lineage: Bacteria
Description: bacterial SSU rRNA
Rfam family: Bacterial small subunit ribosomal RNA
Source: RNAcentral
GUAGGGAAUCUUCCACAAUGGACGAAAGUCUGAUGGAGCAACGCCGCGUGAGUGAAGAAGGUUCUCGGAUCGUAAAACUCUGUUGUGAGGGAAGAACAAGUACCGGAGUAACUGCCGGUACCUUGACGGUACCUCAUUAGAAAGCCACGGCUAACUACGUGCCAGCAGCCGCGGUAAUACGUAGGUGGCAAGCGUUGUCCGGAAUCAUUGGGCGUAAAGCGCGCGCAGGCGGUCCCUUAAGUCUGAUGUGAAAGCCCACGGCUCAAUCGUGGAGGGUCAUUGGAAACUGGGGGACUUGAGUGCAGAAGAGGAAAGCGGAAUUCCAAGUGUAGCGGUGAAAUGCGUAGAGAUUUGGAGGAACACCAGUGGCGAAGGCGGCUUUCUGGUCUGUAACUGACGCUGAGGCGCGAAAGCGUGGGGAGCAAACAGGAUUAGAAACCCCUGUAGUCC